AUGCAUUUUGUAUUUCCAGUCCAGAUGCAUAGCUGCUUCUCAAUGAUAAAAAUUUACUACUUCUUCAUCCUCUUGAAGACCCUCUUGCAACUCCAGCAUCAAAGAGAUAUAAUAACUAAUUGCACUUCUCGUUCCUGCCACCAUGUGAAGAAAAACAUGUUUGCUUCCCCUUCUGCCAUGACUGUAAGCUUCCUGAGGCAACCCAGCCAUGCUGAACUAUUUUGUGAAUGGAAAAAGUAG
This 240-nucleotide long non-coding RNA is filed under the name Papio anubis (olive baboon). RNAcentral's name for it is "lncRNA (ENSPANG00000050974.1)". The record is from RNAcentral. Lineage: Eukaryota; Metazoa; Chordata; Mammalia; Primates; Cercopithecidae.